This 543-nucleotide long non-coding RNA is filed under the name Mus musculus (house mouse). RNAcentral's name for it is "predicted gene 11175 (ENSMUSG00000080058.3)". Lineage: Eukaryota; Metazoa; Chordata; Mammalia; Rodentia; Muridae. The record is from RNAcentral.
GUACGCCGGGACCUGGUGCUGGGGCAGCAGCUGGCAGCCGCUGUUGACGUGGCUGAGGACUUUCUGUUUGAGCUGCGCCACCUGCUCGCGCAGCAGGCUGGCGGUGGACGCCAGCUCGGUGUUCUGGCUUUUGAGGGUCUUGACUUUCUCCUCCAGGCGCGAGAUACGCUCCAGCUUGCGCUUGCGGCAUUUGGAGGCGGCGAUGCGGUUGCGCAGCCUCUUGCGCUCCGCCUUGAUGCGUUCUUGCGUGUCCAUGUCGAUGGGCGACAGCGGAGGGCUGUCGCCGAAGCUCGGCACGUCCGGCACGGUCUGCGGCUCGUCCUUGAGCGCGGCCAGGCGCGGUGGAUGCGGAGGUGGCGGCGGCCCCAGCGCGCCCGGGGGCGGCGGGAAGGGCACUGGCUCCGCGGCGAAAGCCACGGUGGCCGCGCCCCCAGGGGGCCCGGCGCCACCCGCGAAACUGCUCAGGUUGGCGUAGACCGGGGUCUCCGUGGCCCCGGGGGUGGCGGCCAGGUCGGCGGGCGCGGGAGGCGCGGGAGCCCCUGA